AAAUAAUUAAUUUAAAAAAUUUUUUGCAUGUAACUUUUUUGAAGAAUAAACUUUCUAAAUGAUUAUUUAUUUAAUUUCAGUGAUUAAUUUUAAUUUAAAUAAAUUUUUUUAUUUGAUAAAUUUUUUUUAAAAACAGGAAAAUGUUAUGCCAGCAUUCGCGGUUAUAUUUCAUGUUUGAGUUAAUUAAUUUUUUUUUUUUUGGAUUUUAGAUUAUUUUUUAAAAAAUUUUUAAUUUAGGUGAAAUUUAUUAAUUAUAAAUAUUUUUUCUAUUUAAUCUAAUAUUUAGACCAGGAUUAGAUACCCUGUUAUUUUAGAAAAUUUUAUUGAAAUUCCAGUGAGUAUUUAUUUUAUGAAAUUUAAAAGAUUUGGCGGUUUUUAAAUCUUUUUAGAGGAACCUGUAAUUUAAAUGAUAAUCCACGAUUAAUUUUACCUAAAUUAUUUUGUAUAUCUCUGUCGUUGAAUCUAUUGAAAAUUAAUUUUCUUUAUAUAUUAUUAUAUUUAUGUUAGGUCAAGGUGCAAUUAUAUUUAGGUUAUUAUGGGUUACAAUAAUAUUUUUUUAAAAGAUUUUUUAAUAUGAAUUAAUUUUGAAUUUGGAUUUAAAAGUAAUUAUUUUUAUUUAAAAUUUUGAAUCAAGUUCUUAGAAAUGUACAUAUCGCCCGUCAUUCUCAUAAAUUGAGACAAGUCGUAACAAAGUAGAUGUACUGGAAAGUGUAUCUAGAAA
RNAcentral lists this non-coding RNA (721 nucleotides) under Neosymplana vittatum. Lineage: Eukaryota; Metazoa; Arthropoda; Insecta; Hemiptera; Caliscelidae. The record is from RNAcentral.